This 492-nucleotide ribosomal RNA is filed under the name uncultured bacterium. Its description in RNAcentral is "partial 16S ribosomal RNA". It matches the Rfam family "Bacterial small subunit ribosomal RNA", at positions 29 to 507 of the family's 1533-position model. The record is from RNAcentral.
AGUGAACGCUGGCGGUAGGCCUAACACAUGCAAGUCGAACGGCAGCACAGUAAGAGCUUGCUCUUACGGGUGGCGAGUGGCGGACGGGUGAGGAAUACAUCGGAAUCUACUUUUUCGUGGGGGAUAACGUAGGGAAACUUACGCUAAUACCGCAUACGACCUACGGGUGAAAGCAGGGGAUCUUCGGACCUUGCGCGAUUGAAUGAGCCGAUGUCGGAUUAGCUAGUUGGCGGGGUAAAGGCCCACCAAGGCGACGAUCCGUAGCUGGUCUGAGAGGAUGAUCAGCCACACUGGAACUGAGACACGGUCCAGAGUCCUGCGGGAGGCAGCAGUGGGGAAUAUUGGACAAUGGGCGCAAGCCUGAUCCAGCCAGACCGCGUGGGUGAAGAAGGCCUUCGGGUUGUAAAGCCCUUUUGUUGGGAAAGAAAAGCAGCAGGUUAAUACCCCGCUGUUCUGACGGUACCCAAAGAAUAAGCACCGGCUAACUUCGUG